RNAcentral lists this ribosomal RNA (362 nucleotides) under uncultured bacterium. RNAcentral's name for it is "bacterial SSU rRNA". It matches the Rfam family "Bacterial small subunit ribosomal RNA", at positions 8 to 334 of the family's 1533-position model. The record is from RNAcentral.
AGGGUUCGAUCCUGGCUCAGGAUAAACGCUGGCGGCGCACAUAAGACAUGCAAGUCGAACGGAAGUCGUUAUAAAAUGGAUUGAAGAUUUAUCAGAUUGAAGUUUUGUAACAAUGGCUUUAGUGGCGGACUGGUGAGUAACGCGUAAGGAAUCUACCUAUUAGAGGGGAAUAACAAUGAGAAAUCAUUGCUAAUACCGCAUAUGCCAUAAUUAUCGCAUGAUAAUAGUGGGAAAGGAGCAAUCCGCUAAUAGAUGAGCUUGCGUCUGAUUAGUUAGUUGGUGGGGUAAUGGCCUACCAAGACGACGAUCAGUAGCCGGACUGAGAGGUUGAACGGCCACAUUGGGACUGAGAUACGGCCCAG